RNAcentral lists this ribosomal RNA (460 nucleotides) under uncultured bacterium. Its description in RNAcentral is "partial 16S ribosomal RNA". It matches the Rfam family "Bacterial small subunit ribosomal RNA", at positions 338 to 795 of the family's 1533-position model. The record is from RNAcentral.
CCUACGGGAGACAGCAGUGAGGAAUAUUGGUCAAUGGACGAGAGUCUGAACCAGCCAAGUAGCGUGAAGGAUGACUGCCCUAUGGGUUGUAAACUUCUUUUAUAUGGGAAUAAAAUGUUCCACGUGUGGGAUUUUGUAUGUACCAUAUGAAUAAGGAUCGGCUAACUCCGUGCCAGCAGCCGCGGUAAUACGGAGGAUCCGAGCGUUAUCCGGAUUUAUUGGGUUUAAAGGGAGCGUAGGUGGAUUGUUAAGUCAGUUGUGAAAGUUUGCGGCUCAACCGUAAAAUUGCAGUUGAGACUGGCAGUCUUGAGUACAGUAGAGGUGGGCGGAAUUCGUGGUGUAGCGGUGAAAUGCUUAGAUAUCACGAAGAACUCCGAUUGCGAAGGCAGUUCACUGGACUGCAACUGACACUGAGGCUCGAAAGUGUGGGUAUCAAACAGGAUUAGAUACCCGUGUAGUC